Coturnix japonica (Japanese quail) is the source of this 758-nucleotide non-coding RNA. Lineage: Eukaryota; Metazoa; Chordata; Aves; Galliformes; Phasianidae. The record is from RefSeq and is a predicted model, not a curated record.
AAAAGGCCAGUUGAGAUAGGGAUGACGUCCUCCAUGGAGCACAAGGGUCAUACUUCCAGUCUGAAGGCGAGCUCCUGCUAAUCUCCGAAACACUUCACAAAGGGACAGUGUGCACAUCACAAAGCAAGUCAUUCUGCUGGCCUUGAGCCAGGUUUGCAGAGCACGGAUUAAAUCCAAGACAAACCCUCGAGCACUUUAUGGAAAGGUUCCCACUGGCUCCAUCAAGCUUUCAUUGAAGUUUUUGAGCUGCAGCCAAUAGCAUUACUUUCUCCAGAUCAGAAAUGGGUUUGAGCAACAAGGUAAUGCCUUUGUGAACCCUGGCUGCAGGCAGAGGAAGUCCUAACCUUAUCACAGAGCAGGGCUGGAAGAUACCCCAGCAUGGCAAGCAAGAAAGCAGUCAUGCAGAUGCUUUGCAGAUAGAAGAGAACUACAGCUAUCACUUCUGAAAGUUUUCCCUGGCACUUUGGUUGCUGCUCUGACCCUGAACCCUCUUGGAAAGAGAGCUGGGAAGAAAGAAGCCUGCAGCUGCAAGCAGCCUCAGCCUGGCCAGGCAUCUCCCCUUGCUGCUAAUAGCACCCACCUGAAAGUAAGAGCUUCCACAACAGCCAGAAGCCUUUCAGACCAACAGAUCUCUGGGCCUGCACCCUCAGAUCUGUAAUUCUGGAGCUCAAAAGGACAGCCUCUGCUUGCUUCCAGUAGCACUUCAAGCUCCUGGGGGGAUCUGCCUCAAUAAAACCAUCUCCUUUCUCUGAGACAAG